GCACUUAUAGCUCAGUUGGAUAGAGCACUCGGCUACGAACCGGGGUUUUGCGGGGGUUCGAGUCCCUCUAGGUGCACCA
RNAcentral lists this transfer RNA (79 nucleotides) under Clostridium thailandense. RNAcentral's name for it is "Clostridium sp. PL3 tRNA-Arg". It matches the Rfam family "tRNA". From Rfam's summary of the family: Transfer RNA (tRNA) molecules are approximately 80 nucleotides in length. Their secondary structure includes four short double-helical elements and three loops (D, anti-codon, and T loops). The record is from RNAcentral. Lineage: Bacteria; Bacillati; Bacillota; Clostridia; Eubacteriales; Clostridiaceae.